RNAcentral lists this ribosomal RNA (253 nucleotides) under uncultured bacterium. Its description in RNAcentral is "partial 16S ribosomal RNA". It matches the Rfam family "Bacterial small subunit ribosomal RNA", at positions 524 to 776 of the family's 1533-position model. The record is from RNAcentral.
UACGGAGGGGGCGAGCGUUAUUCGGAAUUAUUGGGCGUAAAGAGCUCGUAGGCGGUCUGUCGCGUCGGAUGUGAAAACCCAGGGCUCAACCCUGGGCCUGCAUUCGAUACGGGCAGACUAGAGUUCGGUAGGGGAGACUGGAAUUCCUGGUGUAGCGGUGAAAUGCGCAGAUAUCAGGAGGAACACCGGUGGCGAAGGCGGGUCUCUGGGCCGAAACUGACGCUGAGGAGCGAAAGCGUGGGGAGCAAACAGG